ACAUUUUUCUCCAUGAAGAGAUGAUUACACUAGUCUGCAACCAAAAAACUGCAUAGGAUUUUUUGACUGUUUCUUAUAGAUUUUUACAUACUGAAACUGGGAAAAAUAUUUAAAAUUUUCUGUCACAUCAGGUUUUCUUGCAAAACUCAAGUGUUUAGUGUAAUUAAGCAUAAAAUUUGCCUUUUUAAACUGAAAUCUGGUAUCCUAUUCUUGAGCCAAAAAAACCAUAUCCAAUAAUAAUUAAGAAUGAGUAUAAACAAGCCUGCUAUCAGAUUUGUUUGCCUUAAUCCCCAGCAAGAAGAAUGUCAUAAAUACAAAAUUGGUUCCACCUGAAAAGGUUUUAUUACCACCUCUUCAUAUAAAAUUAGGGGUUAUGAAGCAGUUUAUUAAAUCACUGCCUAAAGAUGGGGAAUGCUUCAGAUAUGUA
Molecule: long non-coding RNA, 427 nt
Filed under: Androctonus crassicauda
Lineage: Eukaryota; Metazoa; Arthropoda; Arachnida; Scorpiones; Buthidae
Source: RNAcentral